GACGUAGGGUGCGAGCGUUAAUCGGAAUUACUGGGCGUAAAGCGUGCGCAGGCGGUUUUGUAAGACAGGCGUGAAAUCCCCGGGCUCAACCUGGGAACUGCGCUUGUGACUGCAAGGCUAGAGUAUGGCAGAGGGGGGUGGAAUUCCACGUGUAGCAGUGAAAUGCGUAGAGAUGUGGAGGAACACCAAUGGCGAAGGCAGCCCCCUGGGCCAAUACUGACGCUCAUGCACGAAAGCGUGGGUAGCAAACAGG
Molecule: ribosomal RNA, 253 nt
Filed under: uncultured Dechloromonas sp.
Lineage: Bacteria; Pseudomonadati; Pseudomonadota; Betaproteobacteria; Rhodocyclales; Azonexaceae
Description: partial 16S ribosomal RNA
Rfam family: Bacterial small subunit ribosomal RNA
Source: RNAcentral